RNAcentral lists this unclassified non-coding RNA (1347 nucleotides) under Centruroides sculpturatus (bark scorpion). RNAcentral describes it as "lysophosphatidylcholine acyltransferase 1-like, transcript variant X3". Lineage: Eukaryota; Metazoa; Arthropoda; Arachnida; Scorpiones; Buthidae. The record is from RNAcentral.
AUUUUAUCAUUUGUAGAUAUGGAUAAUGACAUUCACAAUAUUUCCCAUUCGUUUUAUCAUUAUGAUUAUUCUUCUAAUGACUGCAUGGCUUUUGACAUCAAUUGGUUUUAUUGGUUUAUCAGAAAAAGAAUUUCAAGAGAAACCUAUGUCUGGUUGGAGAAAAUUUAUUAAAGAAUGUGAGAGAAGACUUGGACACAUAUUCUUUUUUAUGGCUGGGUUUCAAAAUAUUAAGAUCUUAGGAAAGAAAGCACAUUCAUCUGAAGCUCCUAUCUUGUGUGUGGCACCUCAUUCCACAUUUUUUGACACACUUAUGGAAUUUAUUGGUGGUGUCUAUUGUCCUGUAGUACGUGAACAAAGCAGUUCUACAGCUAUUGUAUCUACUUUAAUUACAUAUACGCAACCUGUAUAUGUUAAGAGAGACGAUCCUUUAUCACGUCAACAUACUAUACAGGAAAUCAGAAGAAGAGCACUUUCAGGUGAUGAUUGGGAACAAAUACUCAUUUUUCCAGAAGGAACUUGUACCAAUCGAACAUGUCUCAUACAUUUUAAAUCAGGUGCCUUUCUACCUGGAGUUCCUGUACAACCUGUUUGCAUUAGAUAUUUAAAUAAGCCGGAUACAGUAACCUGGACAUGGGAUGGACCCGGCGCUUGGAAAGUAAUUUGGCUUACAAUGACACAAUUACAUCAGCCUUGCGAAAUAGAAUUUCUACCUGUAUAUACUCCAAGUGAAGAAGAAAAACAAGAUCCAAGAUUGUAUGCAGACAAUAUCAGAAAUAUAAUGGCUAAAAAACUGUGUGUUCCAACAUGUGAUUUGUCUUAUGAUGAUAUAAAAUAUCAAGUCUGGGCUAAGGAAAGGCAUUUGUUACACACUGUUGGAGUAACAAAAUUAUUAAAAUUAAGAAGAAAAUUGAAUUUGGAAAAGAAGAGUAUCAAAGAAGAAAUUGCCAAUUCCGAAAAUAAAUUAAGUCUGUACAAUAAUUUGAUUACUUGCAAAGAGUUUGCAAAUUUUCUAACUGAACCAGUUUCAGAGGUCAUUAGAGAUUUCUUUGAUGCAUUUGAUCCAAAUAGAUCAGGCUUAAUAGAUUUGAGGAGUUAUAUAGCUGGUCUCUGGCUCAUUAGGCAAGAUAUUGAUGAUGACGAGAAGCUUGAAAAUGCUUUUAAAAAUUUGAAAGAUACAUGUGGUUAAUAAAAGGCAUAUCAUCAUCCUGGUCAGAAAAAAUAUUUAAAAAAUUAAGCAAAGAUGGAGAAACUUUGGUAUUUGAUGAUCUUCAAAGUAUUCUGUUCGAUAAUAAAUACAUCUCAAAUGGAGCACCACAGACUAAUGGUUCGGUAUCACUGCCGGAUGAC